CUUCUGUCUCUGCAAAUGAAGGAAGAGCAUAAAGGAGGAAGAGAAGAGACUGAAGAGGGGAGGGGAGGAAGAACAGUGGCUUCCUCCCGCUCAAAGUGAAAAUGGAUGUAAGAUUAUUUUUUAGGGGAGAGAGGGCUAGAGUUUCUCUGGAGGUUUGCGCUCUCGUUGAUUGUUUGUUGAUAGAUGAUACUUAACCUGCAAAACUUCACUAAUACUAUAAUUAUUACUAGUUCUUUGGCACACACUCCGAUUGAAUUUUUUUUUUACUUGUGAUAUAUAACUUUUUUUUUUUAUUAUUCAACAGGUUUGAAGGUAGUUUUUUUUAAAAUUUUUUUUAUUUAUGGACAACUGUAGUACUGCUCUUAAUAUUAAUUUGCUAGUUUCAACUUAUCCAAAGUAGAUAUUAAUCGGUCACUAUAUAAUAUUGUAGUAUUAUUUUUAUAACAUAUAUUAUUCUUAUUCAAUUGUAUGUGAGAAUUAUUUUUAUAAUACGUGAAUUUUGUGUGUCUUACUGCAAAUUUUGUAAAAAAUACGUGUAUUAAACAUUAGAAAUGUGUAUGUACAUGUACAAUAGGACUAUUCCACAUUUCCUCUUUAAAAAAUGUGAGACGUGUGUAGAACACGAAUGUACUAUUAAAAAA
Molecule: long non-coding RNA, 641 nt
Filed under: Prunus dulcis (almond)
Lineage: Eukaryota; Viridiplantae; Streptophyta; Magnoliopsida; Rosales; Rosaceae
Description: sRNA ncRNA
Source: RNAcentral